This 479-nucleotide ribosomal RNA is filed under the name uncultured bacterium. RNAcentral's name for it is "bacterial SSU rRNA". It matches the Rfam family "Bacterial small subunit ribosomal RNA", at positions 29 to 506 of the family's 1533-position model. The record is from RNAcentral.
UUGAACGCUGGCGGCAUGCCUUACACAUGCAAGUCGAACGCGAAAGGGGGCAACCCUGAGUAGAGUGGCGAACGGGUGAGUAAUGCAUCGGAACGUGUCCUGUAGCGGGGGACAACCCCGAGAAAUCGGGGCUAAUACCGCAUACGUCCUGAGGGAGAAAGCGGGGGACCGUAAGGCCUCGCGCGAUUGGAGCGGCCGAUGUCGGAUUAGCUAGUUGGUGGGGUAAAGGCCUACCAAGGCGACGAUCCGUAGCGGGUCUGAGAGGAUGAUCCGCCACACUGGGACUGAGACACGGCCCAGACUCCUACGGGAGGCAGCAGUGGGGAAUUUUGGACAAUGGGGGCAACCCUGAUCCAGCCAUGCCGCGUGAGUGAAGAAGGCCUUCAGGUUGUAAAGCUCUUUCAGACGGAAAGAAAACGCAUCGGUGAAUACCCGGUGUGGAUGACGGUACCGUAAGAAGAAGCACCGGCUAACUACGU